RNAcentral lists this transfer RNA (72 nucleotides) under Cavia porcellus (domestic guinea pig). It matches the Rfam family "tRNA". Rfam says of the family: Transfer RNA (tRNA) molecules are approximately 80 nucleotides in length. Their secondary structure includes four short double-helical elements and three loops (D, anti-codon, and T loops). Lineage: Eukaryota; Metazoa; Chordata; Mammalia; Rodentia; Caviidae. The record is from Rfam by way of RNAcentral.
GGGGGUUUAGCUCAGCAACAUAAGCAUCUGCCUUACAAGCAGGUGGUCGUGAGUUCGAUCCCCCCCCCCCCG